This 408-nucleotide ribosomal RNA is filed under the name uncultured bacterium. RNAcentral describes it as "bacterial SSU rRNA". It matches the Rfam family "Bacterial small subunit ribosomal RNA", at positions 29 to 422 of the family's 1533-position model. The record is from RNAcentral.
AACGAACGCUGGCGGCGUGGAUAAGACAUGCAAGUCGAACGGGACAUUAUUUGUAGCAAUACAGAUGAUGUUCAGUGGCGGAAGGGUGCGUAACACGUGGGCAAUCUACCGAGAAGUGGGGGAUAGCUCGCCGAAAGGCGAAUUAAUACCGCAUAUGACCCUGGGUAUCCUUACCUGGGCGUCAAAGCCGGGGCAACCUGGCGCUUCCCGAUGAGCCCGCGGCCUAUCAGCUAGUUGGUGAGGUAACGGCUCACCAAGGCUAUGACGGGUAGCUGGUCUGAGAGGACGACCAGCCACACUGGAACUGAGAGACGGCCCAGACUCCUACGGGAGGCAGCGGUGGGGAAUAUUGGACAAUGGGCGAAAGCCUGAUCCAGCAAUACCGCGUGAGUGAUGAAGGCCUUAGGG